GACAAAAAUGAAAAUAAAAUAAGUUUCGGUUUCGAUUCACCUGAGCUCCUCCAUUCCAGCGAACGUGAACGGUGUGCAGAAUUUUAUACUGAUCUUCUCUACAAAGAGUCAUAUAUUUGUUCACAUAAGGUCAACACGCCCAUUCCUGAAGGAAGGUACAACGCUCUUUGCGAUAUUUUGCAGUCAGGCGAAUAGGAAUUGAUUUCAGACCAUCUUCUCUAAAGAUACCGUCGUACCAGCAUACCACCAUACCAGCAUACCAUCGUACCGCCCUACCAGGAUACCACUGUACUAGGAUACCACUAUAACAACAUUCCAACGUACCAGGACACCACCGACAUGAAGAACGAAUAUCUAGUGAUUCUUACCAUGCUAAAGUUAAUAUCAAUGGUGGUGUUUAAAACGUGCUCUCCGAAUGACAGUGAAUUCGUCGACUUGGUGCUGUUCGGGGUCGGUCUGUCCUCUGCGGGAGAUUUGUGCAUAAUGGGGAUUACUACCCUGCUGGGAUGCUCAUUCUUAUUGUUGCUCGUGUGAUUUACUGCGUGGCAUUUAGCCGGAAGUGGCACUCUCCUUGUCUAGCUGUACUGCCGUUCUUACUAUGUUGUCUGUUGUUGGGUGUCGCUCAGUUUAAAUUUAAAGAAGUCAUGUUCAUUAUUCAUGUGAUCGUGGCCACAAUCUUUUCAUGCCUAACGUUUGCAGCAGCACGAGACACAAGUUCCGUCUGGAACUGUAGUGGCAGCUUAAUGUUAAUGGUAGCGAAUGUUGUAAAUGCUGUGUCCCACGACUUUGGUAUACCACAUGUUAAUAUAGUCUCGGAGAUUGUUUCCUUGACUGGCCACGGUGCUGUAAUGGUAUCUACUUUUGUUGACGGUCACGGCGCGCCGACCUUGCCAUGGUAACACGGGGCGGAUCUGAUGGGAGAGAAAUGAUCUGGACUGUUGUGAUACCUAAUGUCACGUGUUCACAUUAACCGUUAAUGUUGGAUUCCUUGUACCGUUGGUCUUGUGUUACAAAUGUUUACCGUUAGAAUGUUAUUGCUGCAUGCAUUAACUAUUGUGUUGCCGGGAGUAUUUACUGUUAUAUGGUGUUAGAAUGUUAAGACAACGUUAGAAUUGUGUAACUGUGCAUAUCAACAGACGCAAUUCGACUAUGCCUGAACAUCUUCCUUAUGCUUAAAGUACCGUUGUGACUUAUUGAUACUAAAGGUCGAUGUAGUA
This is a long non-coding RNA of Haliotis rubra (blacklip abalone), 1217 nucleotides long. RefSeq lists it as uncharacterized. NCBI's taxonomy places the organism in Eukaryota, Metazoa, Mollusca, Gastropoda, Lepetellida, Haliotidae. The record is from RefSeq and is a predicted model, not a curated record. The transcript is spliced from 3 exons.